Molecule: ribosomal RNA, 466 nt
Filed under: uncultured bacterium
Lineage: Bacteria
Description: partial 16S ribosomal RNA
Rfam family: Bacterial small subunit ribosomal RNA
Source: RNAcentral
GACGAACGCUGGCGGUGUGCUUAACACAUGCAAGUCGAACGGUAAGGCCCUUUCGGGGGUACACGAGUGGCGAACGGGUGAGUAACACGUGAGUAACCUGCCCUCAUCUCUGGGAUAACAGUCGGAAACGGUUGCUAAUACUGGAUAUGAGCUUGCAAGGCAUCUUGUGGGUUGGAAAGAUUUUUUUGGUUGGGGAUGGACUCGCGGCCUAUCAGCUUGUUGGUGAGGUAGUGGCUCACCAAGGCUUCGACGGGUAGCCGGCCUGAGAGGGCGACCGGCCACAUUGGGACUGAGAUACGGCCCAAACUCCUACGGGAGGCAGCAGGGGGGAAUAUUGAACAAUGGACGGAAGGCUGAUGCAGCAACGCCGCGUGCGGGAUGACGGCCUUCGGGUUGUAAAACGCUUUCAAUUGUGACGAAGCUUUUUGUGACGGUAGCAGUAGAAGAAGCACCGGCUAACUACGUG